RNAcentral lists this unclassified non-coding RNA (200 nucleotides) under soil metagenome. Its description in RNAcentral is "partial contains internal transcribed spacer 2 and large subunit ribosomal RNA". The record is from RNAcentral.
AUCAAGCGCGGCUUGGAAUUGGGCGAUCGCCCGCCUCCCCGGAGGAGGGCGUGCCCCAAAGGAUCCCGGCGAAGUCGAAUCGGCUCUGGGCGUAGUAGAAUAUCAAACGUCGGGAGAGUCCAGUUCGUCUUCGGCCGUCGAAAACCCCAUUUCUUUGCAAGGUUGACCUCGGAUCAGGUAGGGAUACCCGCUGAACUUAA